Molecule: long non-coding RNA, 884 nt
Organism: Anopheles funestus (African malaria mosquito)
Lineage: Eukaryota; Metazoa; Arthropoda; Insecta; Diptera; Culicidae
Exons: 3
Source: RefSeq, a predicted model, not a curated record
UUCCCAGCGGUCAAGCUUUCAUGCGUUUCACCUCGUUUCAUCCCCUUCCAACCCUCGUUGGCCUAUACUUUUGCGUGUCAACACAAGCUAUCUCGGUUUUUUCGUUCGUCAAGCAUGUUCUUGUCUCGCUCUUUUCACACUUUGCCGAAGUUCGACGUGCUCCGCGUUGUGUAUUUACACACCGAGCUCAUGGGAUAUCUUUGUGUGUGUAGAAACCCAUUUUGACAGCACCGUCAUUCUUUAGCCGUCAUAUUUUGUUUUGCUUUCGAAGUGCAAGUUUUGGUUAGUUUAUUGCAUAGAAUAGGGAGAUAAAAUGGUUAUAAAAGGAUAAAAAUGGCUUCGAAUCGAAAGAGCACGCGUUUUUCAAGUGACUGGAUAGUUUAGUUAGGGAUAUGGAGUGAAAAAACGCAUGGAAAUAGGGAUGAUGCUUGACCAGCGUGCCUCCGGAACAAAGUGGUGCUGAAACUGUUUCAUGGCUGCUGCGAGUCUGGUACAUCCGAAACAAUUUAUUGGCACGGUCCGCAGGAAACCAAACAGCAAACACAGUGUACAAAGUACCAUGCAGAGAGGACAAAAUUUUACACCACAUAAACCAACACAUUUGCCACAUUUUCCAGCAAGUGAAGUGUAAGCGAGAAAUUUGUGAAAAAAAAUAGAAAAAUUAAACAAAAAAACAUUUCAUGUUUUGUCCUUUUUAAUUGAUGACAACUUUCCAUUAUGCAUAGCCAAUAACGCACCCAUACCUACGAGGCUACCGCGCUACACACUCACACAUGCGCAAAAAAGCUCUUCGUUAAGCGGGCUUCAGACGGGCUUCACCCGGGCUUCAGAUUGACGUCGUGAACCCCGUCUGAAGCCCGCUUAACGAAGAAUUUGACCGCUGG